GAUCAGUAAUGGACUUAAGGUAGGCCAACAUCAAAUGUUCAAAGGUUUUCAUACCUACUGAAGUCAGAGUGAAUGGCUAUAAUCAUUAAGUCCAGAGAUAAUAAUUGCAGGGAGGUGUUAACUAUCUCAAAGAUGACAGGUGCUAGCUGAUCCGCACAGUGCCUAGGAGAACCAGGCCAUCAGCAAGUCUUCCCCUUCAACGAUCCAGUCACCCAUCACUUGGCUUGCAAUAGGUGAAUGGGAGCGUGGAGUGAAAGCAGUGCCUGGCAACAUGAUCCAACUGUAGCUUUCAGGCCCAACUCCAACAAUGAUUAUUGACAUCGGAAAACAAGCGGCCUUAGAAGAUGAAGAAAAGCAUUAAAUUGGAACGAAGAAAGAAUCAUUGAGACUUUCCUAUGUUUUGAAAGGGUUCUUUUGAAGACCCUGAGCUGGAGUUACACUCUGACUUCAGUUCUUUGUGGGAAUGGGACCCGCCCUCAGGGCCUCACGACCGACCGCGUUUCGAUAAGCCAAGGGUGCGGCCUGGAAAACGAGCGCGCCUUCACGGUGGUGGAUUUUCAUGGCUCUGGAGGCGGGCGGUUUUGAGGUCAGUGCCACCACCCGAUGAGUCGUGGGAGAUCGAAAGCAGCGAGCUGGCUGCCGGCUGUGUGCCCAGAGCUCAGAGAAAGCAAUGCAACAGACUCUUGACACAAUAAAUCGGUGAGUUGUUUUGUUAUGUCUCCCCUCUUGCCGUGAAACAGGGACACCUCUUUUUCCCUUAUUAGGGACAGAGAGAGAACCUGUGGUGUGUCGAAUUCCUGGAUGAACGAGUAAUCUUUGGGGUACUGCAAGUCCCUGUCUGUACUGAUGCUUUGCUGCAUGCUUGAGUGCUCGGUGGAGGGUGCUGAUGCUUUUUGGCUGGUGGGGGAGGGGAAGGUCGUCGCUUUGCUGCUGCUGAUGCGUGGAGGGGAUCUUCGGGUUCUAACAUUUAACUGUCAUUCAUUCUUGGGGGGCACUCCUCUGUUUUCAUGGGUGCUUCCAAAGAAAAACAAUCUCAGGAUGUAUAUUGUAUACAUUUUUCUGACAUUAAAUGUACCUAUUGAAGUGGCCACUUUAUUAGGUACAUCUGUAUAUUGAUGCACAUAUUGAAUUAGCCAAUCGUACAGCAGCUUUCAAUGCAUAAAGCAUGCAAACAUGGUCAAGAGGUUCAGUUUUUGUUCAGACCAAACAUCAGAAUGGAGAAUAAUUGCUGGUGCCAGACAGUGGUUUCAGUAGCUCAGAAACAGCUGAUCCCUGGGAUUUUCACACACAACAGUCUCUCAACCUUACAGAGAAUGGCGUGAUAAACAAAAAAAAAAUCUAGUGAGUGGAAGUUGUGUGUGAAAUGCCUUGAUAAUGAAAGAGGUCAAAAGAGAAUGGCCAAACUGAUUUAACGCAGACAGGAAGGCGACAGUAACUCAAAUAAUCAUGCAUUGUUACAACAGUGGCAUGCAGAAGAGCAUCUCUGAAUGCACAGAACAUAGAACAUUGAAGUGUAUGGGCUACAGCAGCAGAAGACCACAGACAUGCACUCAGCGGCCAGGAGUUACCUAAUGAAGUGGCCUCUGAAUGUAUCUGUAGCAGCCCUUGGGAUUCUUCUUCAUCCUGUCUGCCAGAGCAACAUUAUGCAUUCUUUUAACCCUCCUGAUUUCCUCCUACAACACACACAAAGUGCUGGUGGAUCACAGCAGGUCAGGCAGCAUCUACAGGGAGAAGCGCUGUCGACGUUUCGGGCCAAGACCCUUCGUCAGGACAUCAGCAUCUGCAGAUUUCCUCCUAAGUGCUUUCUUGCAUUUUAUAUAUUCCUCAUGCAGGUACCUCAUUUGUUCCUUGCUGCCUAUAUCUCAUUUUUCAUUAACCAUGGCUUCAAUACCCCUGAUAAAUCAAGUUUCCGCAAACCUAUCAGCCUUGCCUUUUACUCUAACAGGAACAUAUAAAUUCUGUACUCUCAAAAUUUCAAGAUUUGAAGGCCUCCACUUAGCAUCCCUUUGCCCAAAAACAACCUAACGUAAUCCAUAUCUGCCAGAUCUGAUGCCUUUAUCCAAUUUAGAAUCUCAACCCGAGGAUUAGUCCUAUCCAUAUCUAUUUUGAAGCUAAUGGAAUUAUGAUCACUAGAACCAAAGUGUUCUUGUACACACACUUGUCACCUGACCUAACUCAAUCCAUAAUAUGAAAUCCAGUAUCACCUCUAUUAAUUAAGGAAACUUUCCAAAACACACUUGACAAGCACUAUUCCGUCCAUUUUUACAGUGUUGGAGUCAAGUUAAGACCACCUACUAUCACAACCUUAUUUUUCUUACAGCUGUCUGCUAUGUCUCCACAAAUCUGCCCUUCUAAAUUCCACUGACUAUUUAUAUCUGUCCCUGACAAUCACUGUUAAAAAAGCAUUUCCUGGCCUUUGGCAGUGAGCAUUCUCAGGAAACUACACCAAGAACGAUUCACUACUUUGUGACAGGCUCACCUCUGUACAUACAUUCAGAAAAAAGAACGGGUAGGUAGAGAUAAUGAGCCAACAAGAAUAUCUGACCCAUUUCCUUGUGCCAUUUAUACAAAGGAUUAAUACGCCUUUAAAACAAAUAGAUGAAGUGCUUAUACAUCUCACCGUACUUGCAUUUUUAAGAUUGAUUGACCAAAAGAAAAUAAAAAUGAUUGGUAAUGAAAAAUGAGCUGGUCCUCCUUCUAAUGAUUAUCAAACAUAAGGCUGUAUUAAAGGUAGUCCUCCUCUGUCAGGCACUUGGCAUCAGUCCUAGGCAUAUCUAGGUCAGGUACCUCACAGCCAGAGGCAGAAUAUUCCGCAGCAACAAUAUGCAUAGAUUUCAAACAAGUUAAAACAUGUUCCUGCAACAGGAUGACAUUUUGUCCAUUUCCCACAUCAAUCAGACCAUCAGUGCUCCAGGGACAAUCUUGAUUUGGCAAAUUACACAAGCCUGUAUAAUUGAUUUAAAUCAUUUUAAGUUUUUUACAAAUUUUAAUUGUACAUACUUUUGAAAUACCAUUCAUUUUUCAUCACCUGUCCAAUGGCAAAGUGGAAUCUGAAAAUGCGACCUUCUCUCAUUCGAUAUUCACUAGAUUAAAACUGCUUUGGGAAAUUAUUAAGCAGAAGUUUGUACUCAUUAUGUUAGAAGGGUCCAUUCAUUCCUUCAGGCUCCUGGCACAAAUAAUCUCAAACAUGCCAUUACUGGGCUUUUUUGUCUCUCUGUUGAGGAUCCGAUCUUGGGACCAAGAUUUGCAUUUUAAUGAGGGUUCGCUGACUGUAAUUCUAAGGUGGUGUAGACACCCACCAGUCAGACCCUAUUAAAACUGCCCUGUGUUAACAGAGCAUUACUGACCUCAAUUUGAGUCUAUUAUUGUGCCAUAAGCAAUGAACACAGCAAAUUGAAAGCAACCCUACAUCAGAGUGGUUAACCUGCUCUAUUUAUAAUUUCAAACCAUUGUUAUUAGCUUUAAAUUAAUUAUCAAAAUGCUUUCUGCUACUGGGAAAAUGUCAUGUAGCUUUUUAAAUUGCUAAAAAUAAGACAUAAGAGUGUAAAAAUAAUUUUCUGACAUGGUAUCUGAAGCCAAUAGCACUGAGAAUAACAAUGAAACUA
Long non-coding RNA from Hypanus sabinus (Atlantic stingray), 3605 nucleotides. RefSeq lists it as uncharacterized. The record is from RefSeq and is a predicted model, not a curated record. Lineage: Eukaryota; Metazoa; Chordata; Chondrichthyes; Myliobatiformes; Dasyatidae. The transcript has 4 exons.